Molecule: long non-coding RNA, 1100 nt
Organism: Bacillus rossius redtenbacheri
Lineage: Eukaryota; Metazoa; Arthropoda; Insecta; Phasmatodea; Bacillidae
Exons: 3
Source: RefSeq, a predicted model, not a curated record
ACGGCUUGCUGCGACGUACACACUCCAACCUCGCUGUCGCCAUGUUGUCAUGUCCAUGGAGCUCUUGGCCACGUGUUGGUGACGGUUGGUCCAUGUAGUGUCCUUGGGCACGUGACAACAUUGCAGUCUGACUGCAAACCCCUGUUGCCAGACACCUGGAUGAUCGACGCACGUGCGGGGAAACCAAACCAACUACAGAGUCCCGCGCACGUACACCACAAUCCGGCAGCGAGGUCGCGUGUAGUGUCUGUGGGCGCGUGACGAUAUCACAGACCGACUGCGAGACGCCUGGAUGAUCGACGCACGCGCGGGGAAACCAAACCAGCUGCAGGGGCCCGCGCGCGCACGCCAUGUGCCGGCAGCGCGGUGCUCACCUUCGCCGUGCUGGUCGACGAACUGGAACGCCUUGACCAGCCUCAGGGUCUCAUCCACGCUGCGCCCCACAGGCAGGUCGUUCACCGUGAUCUGGCGCAGGAUACCCUGGAGCAGGUACUUCUCUUGUGUUUCCAAAUCAAAAAAAAAGACCAAAAUAAAACUGCACAUAUAUGCAUAUACACAUAUGCAUGAUCACAUACAUACGCAUAUUCACAUAUUAAUUUCCAUUUAUAUAAACUAUAAAGAUUAACAUCAGCCUUAACUGUUGCUAAGCAUUUUGCAAAUAAAUUUUUUUUUAAAAAAAACCAUUCGACCUCAGGAAACUAGUAAGAGUGAACGUCACAAGCAAUAAUAAUACAAAUCUUAACUUGUAUCGUUUAUCAUCAGCAAAAUUGCUAAGCAUGUUACAAAAAAAAAUAAAAAACAUUCAACCUCAGGAAACUAGUAAGAGUGAAUGUCACAAGCAAUAAUACAAAUCUAACUUGUAGGUACCAUUCAUCAUCAGCUAAAUUGCUCAGCAUGUUACAAAAAAAUUUUUAAAAAAACAUUCAACCUCAGGAAACUAGUAAGAGAGAACGUCACAAGCAAUAAUACAAAUCUAACUUGUAUCAUUUAUCAUCAGCAAAAUUGCUAAGCAUGUUACAAAAAAAAAUAAAAAACAUUCAACCUCAGGAAACUAGUAAGAGAGAACGUCACAAGCAAUAAUACAAAUCUAACUUGUAUCA